Non-coding RNA from Myodes glareolus (Bank vole), 290 nucleotides. NCBI's taxonomy places the organism in Eukaryota, Metazoa, Chordata, Mammalia, Rodentia, Cricetidae. The record is from RefSeq and is a predicted model, not a curated record.
GACAAACCGAAGGCUGGAACUGGGAAGGAAACCGAGACCCAGGCUGAAGUUCUCCUUAGAUCCCAGGACACAGAAGACAUUCAAACGGAGCCAAAGAAAUACCCAGUUCAAAAGCCACAAGGAGAAUAGAGGCAUCUUUAUUGUCCUGGGUCACCGUGGAGAUUCUUUUACCCAGUAAAUGUGGCUCCGGAAGAAACAGGUGAAAUGCCCCACCUCCCAGAUUCAGCUCUUGCUACAUAAUACGUUUUGGCUCAUGACCUACCAGCCAGCAGUGAAUUCCACAUGGGCAU